RNAcentral lists this long non-coding RNA (44342 nucleotides) under Ananas comosus (pineapple). Its description in RNAcentral is "long non-coding RNA (ACOM_LNC004710)". The record is from RNAcentral. Lineage: Eukaryota; Viridiplantae; Streptophyta; Magnoliopsida; Poales; Bromeliaceae.
CCCCACAUGUCUCUCUCUAGAUUUAUCUCUAGAUUUUUCCAUAUUUAUCUCUCUCUCUCUCUCUUUCUCUCUCUCUCUCUCUCUCUCUCUCUCUCUCUCUCUUUCCUAAUUAAACUUAAGUUUUUAUUAAAUGUGUAAGUUAUUCAAGUCAAGGAGGGGUGAGUAGUUUUAUAUUUGUGCGUCAAAGUCAGAGCCUAUUCAUCACCAUAAAUAGCCCACAGGGCCAUAACCUUUUUAUUUUUUUUUUCUAAAAUACCUCUUAUAUGUUCCACCGUUAUUAUAAAUAAAAUACCUCCGCAGUUAUCUCCUGUUAAGUAACUUAAGUUAAACGUGAGUUAAAUAUCUACCACAACUAAAAAACUUAAAAUACCAAUUUUGCCCUUAACUUUAGGGCAAAUAAGAAAUGUUGGUGACAGUAGAGGGGUAUAUUAAAAAAGAUCAAAAGUUAAAAUACUUUUUGUGCCCCUGACUUUAAGGACAAAUAAGAAAGUCGGCGAUGGUGGAAGGGUAUACUUGAAAGGGCAAAAUAGUAAUCUUACAAAGAUAACAGAGUUAAUAAACUGAUUUUAACUCUAGAGAUAUAUUAGAAAUAGGUUGAAACGUAGAAAGGGUAUUUUCAAUAUUAGCCUUCUAAGAGGAGUAAAUCGCGAGUCGGAAAUUUUUCACGGGUAUAUAAACAAUUGCCCCUUUUUUUAAAUAGUAGGGAACAAAUUUUUUUUUUUUACCAUUAUUUAGUUGAAAGGAAGAAAACAAAAUUAUUAUAUAUAUUUUUUCUUAUUAUAUAUAUUAUAUUAUUAUUAAUUUAUAAUAAUUAGUAUACUAUAUAUAUUAUUAUUAUAUUUUUAAAAAUAAAUAUAUUUAAAAUAUAUUAUAUAAUAAGUUUGUAAUAUAAUACAUAAUAGUAUAUUAUAUUUAGUACUAUAAAAUAAAUUACUAUAUAUUUAUAAAUAAUAUUUAUAAAUAUAAUAUUAUAUAGUAAUAUAUUAUAUAAAAAUAAAAUAUUAUAUAUAUAUAUAUAUAUAUAUAGAGUGAGGCUACUAUACUUCUAGAAGCACGGAGCUUUCCGUGCUUCCAGAUCUUUUUCCAUGUUGCGACUUUCGAAUCGUCGAUCGGCUCUAUUAAACUUAAUCUAGAGUAUUUAAAGUAGCUAGAAAAUAAAUUUUGCAAUUUUUCGAUAUCAUUUGUCUAGUGAACAAAGGGGCUCAAAAUCAACGGCUGAAAAUAAAAAUCUUACAAAAUGUAAUAAUAUGACAUUAAAAUUUUAGAUCAAAAAUAUUGAUCUUAUUUUAGAUCUGGAUAUUUCUAUACCGUUAAACUUGCAAACGGCUCACUACGGCCAUUAAAAUUAUUGAUUUUGAGCCCCUUCGAUCACUAGACAAAUGAUAUCGAAAAAUUAUAAAAUUUAUUUUCUAGUACUUCAAAUACUCUAGAUCAAAUUUUACGGAGCCGAUCGACGAUUCGAAAGUCGCAACAUCAAAAACGACCUGAGAGCACGGAAGGUUCCGUGCUUCUAAAAGCAUAAUAACCUCAUACACUAUAUAUAUAUAUAUAUAUAAUGAAGAGAGAGAGAGUCUGCAGGCUCUAGGUGUGGACUCUCCCUCAUGCGGUCCACGAGGUGAAGUUCACCUUGGGUACUGUGUGUUAACACACCUGUGCCACGAUUUUUUAGGACGAGACUUGAAGAGAGCAAAAAAACAAAAAUUCUUCUGAAAAUCUGUUACGAAUAACCAAAUAAUAGAAAAAAAAUUUCAACGAAAAAUAUUUUUCAGAAUGAUUUUACGUGGAUCCAAGCACACCCUUACUAAAUUUAGAUUUAUUAUCUUUAAUCCACGGAUAUAUAGUAAAUAUAACUUCAGUAAUUUAAUUUCAAUCAACAGUUAUUUUUAUUUUUGUAUAAAUCACAAUGAUUAAUGAAAGAAAUUGAAUAGUGGUGAGCCCACUACCAUCUCGUAAUAUUACUUCUAUAAUGAGAAUGAAUAAAUCACUCUAAUUCUUCUAUUUUUUUUUUCUUUUACUAGCUAAGAGUAUUCUUAUUAAAAUGUUUGACAAAUUAAUAAGAAAUCUUAAAACUCUACUACCAUUCUAAACCUUAAUAAAACACAAAACUCUAAAAAUUAAAAAGCUCUAACUUAUUGCCAAGCCAGGUAAUAAUGUUCACACAUGCAUGUACUCAACGUUGUACGUACGCGCGUACGUAGUAAAUUGCUCCGACCAAGGAUUGUAGCAUAUCCUUUCUCACGACUCUCUCUCUCUCUCUCCCUCUUCAUACAUUAACCAACGAAUUUUAAGGGAAAAAAUAUGCCAAGCUUGUCGUUUUAUGGCGACAUUAAGAAUAUCCUGUUUCCCGUACACCAACGUGUUAGCGUACAUCUCUCUCCCUCCUUUGUCAACGCACCCCUCCUCCAUAUAUAUCCUAUCCUUAGAUGAAACAAUAAUAAUAAGCAAGAGAGAGGAAGAGGAGGAAGAAGAGGAAGAGGAUAAAUCUAUCAUCAAUAUGAAGUUGGUAUGGUGCCCGGAGAUGGCGUCGAAGGCGUACAUCGACGGCGUGAAGACGCUGGCGGAGCGAGAGCUCGCCGACACCGACGUUGCCGAGCUCGUCUCCGCCAUGGCCGGGGGCUGGAACGCGCAGCUCAUCGUCGAGGCCCCGGCCCCGGCACCGCACGACGUCGCCGCCAUCACCCUCGCCCUCUCCGCCGCCGCGCGCCACACCGGCGCCCGCUACGUCUGCGUCUACCCAGACCGUAACUCGGCGGCGGAGCACCCCGCGGAGGUGGUGGUGGGGGAGGCGGCGGAGGCGAUGGGGGGGCUGGAGGGGGUGGACCUGCUGGUGGUGGACGCGCGGCGCGGGGACGCGGCAGCGGCGGUGGCGGCGGCGAGGCCGGGGCCGAGGGGGAUGGUGGUGGUGCAGCACCACGCGGGGCGGCGGAGGGGCUGCGGCGGCGGCGGCGUCGCGUUGGUGCCGGCGGUGGAUUCGGCACGUGGAUCGGGACACGGGCGAGGAGCACGUGUUCCGACGCUGAUAUCCUUCUGGAUAAUUUUCAUGUCAUACGUCAAUAUGCCAGCACAGCAGCAGAACUUAUCUCCAAACACGGAUAUCAGCUGAACAUGUGCUGGCACUUUGAAAAUGUGAAUAGAUAGCAACGCAUGAUAGCAUAUGUUCAUUUUGACAUAUUUUUUCUUUUCUAAUUUUGUAUCUUUAUUAUAUGUAAGAUAAAAGUUUGUAAGAUGACAAUGGAAUCCACGCGUUGUGAAUUUUUUGGUUAGUAAUUCCAUUACGUAUUUACAAGAGCCGUUAUACCACCAAGACUUAAAAUUUUCGACCUAAAAUUUUAGUGCAGAUUGGGAAAGAAACUAAAGCUUAAUUCGCAUGGCUAGUCCUGCAAAUGACAUAUUAUAUAAAAAAUUUCACUAAUAUUUAAGUAAAGAUCCAUCACUUUGAUAAAAAUUAUCGAUCGGCUCUAAAGCAGGUGGCAAAGGAUUUAGUAAUUGAUACCCGAGACCCAUGUUCGAAUUAUAGUUGAUUCACAUUUUCAACUAAGUUUAUUUUUAAAUAAAAUAAACAAAGCAGAUAGUGUUCUACCUAUCUUUUUUUUUUAAAAAAAAGGAUAAAAGUUGCGUAAAUUGGCAAUUUCACAAAUACUUUUCCAUGAAUUCCAUUAUCAACCAAUAUAAGUUACUUACUAUUUACAUGAAUAAUAUUAUGCUUACAAAUUUUUUACAAACUUUCUGUAAGCACGUGUUUCUAUGGUUGGAUUUAUUUAUUUAUUUAUUUUUUCUCAUUUGUGAACACACAUAAAAAAAAAAAUAGAACCUAAAAUUCUGAAAAAUUAAUUUUAUGAAAUUUUAUGGAAAAUAUCAUUUCUAUAGCUUUAGUUUUCCAGAAAAAAUAAUCAAAAAACCAUAAGUAGAUUCUUCCAUAAAAUCUGUAUAAAAAAAUUUAAAAAAAUUACAUUUUCUGAAACCAAUCAGCCAGAAAACUAUUUUCUAUUUUUUUUUGUUUAACCAAAUUGUAGAUAGUUUUGUUCCUAAGCACAGUAUUAGUGUAUCUACAUAAUGCUUUGUACUCUUUGGGAAGGAAAUUUUUUUUUUUUUUUCCAGAUGUAAACUUAAGAUACAUCCCAAUUUCUUUCCUUGUUUUUUAAUUUCCAUCUCAUUAGUACUUUACUAGAUUGAAUGAGUAGUCAUAGAUUAUGUUAAUGUUCAUUUGAGAGCAUAUCUAAACAACUUGUUACUAAUUUAAGUAAAUAAAGAGUUAGGCUUACUAAUUUGUGAGAGAUCUCUCCAUCACCCAGAAUAAAGUAGCACUAGAUCGCAUAAUAGAAAAAUGAAACCGACAUACAACUCCUAAAUAAUUAAAUCCUGAGUUUAGUUGAUCAGUAUUAUAAAAAGAAAUUAGUAACCAAGUUGAUGUUCGAUCAGUGUUUGACGUUAACUUAGCCUUAAUUAACUAGGAGUUCUACCUAACGAGACGAAUAAUUUGACGACAAGCAUAACAUAAGUGAUAAGCUUAGCUUAGCUGAUCAAAAUCGAACUUGAAAACGCAUGCAAAAAUAGCAAAACAUGCCAAAGCUUUAAUUUUAGGUCGAUAAUAACACCUAUUUCACAUCUUUGAAAACAAAAACUCCCUUAAAAGACGAAGAAAAAAGGCAAAGAUAAUAAGAACUAUUCGGACGAGGUCAUAGUUAGGUUAGGUUCAAUUAAUAAUGUCCUCAUCUAAUCGCCACUUAGUAGUUCGGUUAGUAGGUAUUCUCAUGGUCGAGGUGAAGCUAGAUCUUGGAUUUCUAAUCCAGUUUGGUGCCCAAAAAAACAGGUGGGUGCGCAGGCCUUCGAGCAUAACUUAAAAAUAAAAAAAGCGAUAAAGCGCCAGUGAUGAUCUUAAUCCAACAUUGUUAGCUAUCAAAGUAAAAUUUACAAAUUCAGAAAUCGAGUAAGUCAAGUAGGGAUAUAAAGAGUGCAUACAUUCAUGUAACAUUUCGAGUUAAUUUGCAGCAACAGAUACACUUACAGAUGCAAAAUUCAACAACAAUUACAGCUACAAAUGUACAAGAUUUUGGACUAAAAGCCUCUGGCUAUUUAUAAUGGUAAUCAACACAAAUCACCCUGAUUAAGGAGAGAGAGGAGCAGUGAAAUGAAACCGGGAUUGUUAACUAUACGAAAGAUUGCGCUUCUUUACCUCGCAUGGAAAUGGAUGGACUCGCUCGUUUAUGCACUGUAGAGGUAUAUUUUUCUCCUCAUAUGUUAAGCCAGUGAUUUCAAUUUAUUCUUCUUCUAUUCAGUACUAUUCAGUAGUGUGUUUAGAUCAACAGGAAAAAGAUCUCUCUAAUUGUGAUCUGAAUUAUCCUGAAAUAGAAGAAAAGGAGAACCAUCAACACAAUCUUUAGCAUCGCCUAAACAAAAAAGAUGAAUCAUAUUUGGCAACUACACCGAUCGUCCCUAGAGCAAGUGACAAAGGGCUUGAUGGUUGGUACCCGAGACCCAAGUUCGAAUCCUAGUUGAUUCACAUUUUCAGCUAAAUUUAUUUCUAAAUGAAAUAAACGAAGCGGGUAGCGUGCUACCUAUCUCUCAAAAAAAUAUUUGGCAACUACUAAAAUACAGCUUUCAGAAUCAUGAUUUGAUGAUUAUCAGGACAACCAUCCAUUACAAGCAAAUGAAAAGUCGACUAGUUACAGCUUCAGGAAUUGUACCUUAUAGUCAAUCCCAACUAUCUCUAUUCCUCCUGAAUGUUUUCUUUUGUGAGAGAGCUUUUUUGUUCAGAAUCCUCUUUUGCUCUCCAACAGCAGCCCUUCAAUAACAAAGGGAACGAGGUAACUCAUUCAGUUCCAUUAACAUAGUUUAACAGUAUAUCAUCUUCGAGUCUAAACAGAACAAGUUGAAAGCAAAAUGACAUCCUUUUCUUAAUAUAAAGGAAACCGUAGAUAAAUAUGGCUUACAAUUUUUCAAUCCUUUUCUUUUGCUCUUCUGAAGGAGGCGGUGGAACAUAUGAUGCAGCAUCAAUAAUAGCCUGCUCGGAAAAAAGAAAGGAUUUAGAAAAGAGUAAAAGGAAGAAGCCCCCACAAUUAAGAAGGGCAAAGAACAAAAGACAAAUGAAGUAAAAUUUUGUGUUCUGCUAGAUAAAGAAGCCCAAGUUCACUACUGGACCUGCAAUUUCUCGAGAGCGUCUUCGAUGUUACCCCUGCAAAAGAUUAACCAAUCGAUUGAAUUCACAACCAAUUGAAAAUACGGCAUACUACAGCAAAAGAUGGUAGUUUACUUUUGGGUUCUUGUCUUUGUAGAAGAAAUUACAAGCUCCCCAUCCUUGUUGAUACGAUUCUUUUCCUGUGAAAAAGACCCCCAGCUAUCAGGUUGGAAUGAUUUAAGGACCAAAUGAACGGGAUGAUAAUAUUCAGAAGGUUUUGAGAGUAACCAUUUGAAGUAUUCUCUCCCUAAUUCUCUCACCCAACCAAUUUGCCUGCUUGACAUUGAAGCGCAUGUCCACCUUGGUAUUCACUGCAAGAAUAAAGAUUAUGCUACAAAUUUAGAAAGCCAAAAAAUGAAAAUUAAUACCGAAAAGCAGCAAAUUGCAGGAGAUUAAAUAAUUGCAACAACAAAACGCAUGUAAAAUGUUAAAUAAUAGGCACAAACACCACGUAUAAGUAGAAGCCAAUCUGAUACAGAGACAAUAUAUAAACCAAGUUAGGCCCUAACAUGAACCAAGGGAUGAAUAUUCCUCAAGAGCAAGGGUAUUCAACAGAGCACAAAAAACAAUAAAAUCUAUUAUAGGAAGUUGUGUGUCCAGAUGUCUACCAUGUAACAUGAUUAGCAGUUAUUGCCUCGCAAAGAGGCAGAAAAUUCUACAUAACACAAGAAAUAUGGUGGAAAAAACAAAUAAAUUGUUAUAGCCUUAGAAUGAGAACGGGUAGGGAAGGACUAAAAUGCACCAUCACAUCCUAAGCAAUAAAAGAUAGAUUUCUAGAGACAUUUGAAAUAACGAUGAAAAAGCACCUAGAAAAUUGAUAAAGAUAGCAAAACCAAAGCAAAUAAGAGUACAAUUAAUAGGUUGCUAGCCUGAGUUGAGAUUAAAAUCCACCCAAAAAGAAAAAAGAAACCGAAACAUUUCAUGAGUUGCACUUCUUAGAGUAUAAAACUUUAUUUGGUACUUUAACAAUUAUAUUUUAGAGACCAUAAUAAGAAAAUAAAUGAUAACAAUAAUAAACUCAUCACACCUUUGUUGACAUUCUGACCACCAGGCCCACCACUUCUUGCAAAGCUAACAGUGACAUGAUCUGCAGAAUAAAGGAAUUUCAAAUUAGACAAGAGAAAACUGAAAAAUGUUUAAUUUAGACAACAUAAUAUGCCCAGUAAUCUUGAACAAAAGAAAAACACUAACAUCAAAAUGUGUCAAAUAACACCUGCAUCAAUAUUGCUCAAUCUUCCUGUCAAUAUCAACAUGUAUAAUGUAUAAAGUAAAAAUAUGCCAAAUGUAAAGUCAAAGCAUGCCAACAAUUGAUGCCACCACAGUUAUCAGAGGCUACAAAGCAGGGUUUGAGUUUUGCCGAAAACAGUCCGAUGUCCAAAAUAAUGAUAUGCAGUUAUUUAUAGUACUCACUGAAAAUUAACAAUUGUUCUGUAAAACAUGCUAACAAUUAAAUGUUACAAGUUACAACUUGUAUCAGCUUAUUUGCAAGCUGAAAGGUUAAAAUUCAACAUAGAUUAAAUCCUUCUAAACAGAGACACUCCGCAGCUCUUCCUCCUUUCUCUUAGCAGGUAUUUCAAACAUUAAAUAAAUUCCCCCAUUUUUAAAAAAAAAAUCAAAUGAUAUUUUUGCAUUCCCAUGCAACACCCAUUAGAAGUAAAUCAAUCACUCAAUUAUUAUCCAAAAUUUCAUCAUACAUUGAUCUCUUGUACCUAAAAAGCUAUCACAUCUUAUUUCAUCAAUACAAAGUUUCUUUCCUAAUCAAGGACUCUAAAAAUUUAGCAACAAUCAAAUUAUUUUAAUAUUCUUCAUGAAAAGCUAAAAUGAGCCAAUUUACAAAGCUUCUAAACCCCACUUUAGAAGAAAUCAUGGAUAUGCCUUACUGUGUAAAAAGGAUCCUAUUAGGGCUGGAUUCAUUUACACAAGACUACUAUACAAUUUCGUAACUGAUUUUUUAUCAGCCUCAUUUGGAGUCUACAAAAUAUAAGAAAAAUAGAGGCAAAUAUCCGUCUGAAAAUCCUAAGGCAGAAUAGGACGUUAACUGAAACUAAAUUGACCCCAAUUGACUCAAUCUCGACCAUUUAUGGACUCAAUUUACAAGACUUAACUACAACUUGGCUCCAUUCAUGGCUAUGAAGACCCUCAGCAAGAAUAACACUCCUGUCCAAACUGAAAUCUAAUUACACUUACUCAGAUUUAGACCCAAAGACUGGCUAAUAUUUGACCUACACCAAUUGAUUUCGAACCGGCUCAAACUUGACAAUCCAUAGGCUCGAUUAGCUAGACUAAAACUGAUCUAAUUUAGUCACACCAAUGAAAAUCCUUUAAGAAGAAUAUAAGAUCUGCCCGAACUGAGACCUACCCACAGUUAUUCAGAUUUUAGAUCCAAAUACAGGCAACGCUGACCAGCCUUGAUCAAUUCGAACUGAUUCAAUCUUGACAAUUUAGCCACUUGAUAACCCAGUUCACGCCUAAACUAAAUCAAGCGUAGCUUAUCCGCCAGAAAAAUAUAUUUCCUACAGAAAAGAUACUAAGAUAGCAACUAUAUAUAUCAAAUUGAACAAAUAUCAGAUGCAAUUUUCAAUGCAACAUUACUAUAUGCUCAAAAUGGAGAAUAUUUUUGGCAAUACUUCUACUAUUUCAUAAUAGCUCCCUAGAUUGGAAGGCGAAACAAUCCAAUCUUGCUCACAUCUAACAAUUUCGCUGAGAUUUACAAAAAGACCAAAAUUGAUUAACCAAUACAAAUUAAAAAGGGCCCUAAAUUGCAAAAAUUUCUUCCCUUUCAUUUCCAUUAGCAACCAUAUAUUCGAUUAUCCAAACACAACGCUAUGUCCUUUCACUGAUAACAUAUAUUAGCAUACUAAUCGACAAGAUAACCCUAAACAAAUAUGGCGAACGAUUUAUCCAUCAUUUCUCAGUCCAUUUUCGUUAUUCUUUAGAUCGACACGAUCGAGAAUAGGAAUUUACCCAGCGUGAUCUUGGGGCUGGGCUCGGAUCCCGCGGAGACGGCCCGGUCCUCGGCUUCUCGGAGGAUCUGCUGCAUCAUCGAGAGCCGUGCCGACACCUUCUUCCCCCCAUCCGCCUCCGCCGCCGACUCCGACGCCGCGCAUCGGACGUGCCUAAUCCCGAAGUGGAUGCGGCUCGGAAAGAGGAGGAUACUGCUUCGGAGAAUCGCCAUUGUUGCGAAAAGAGAGAGAGAGAGAGAGAGAGAGAGAGAGAGAGAGAGAGAGAGAGGGGUUAGGGUUAAGGUUAGGGUUAGGGGAUUUGAUUUGCCGUGAGAGAGGUGUUCGUGGGUGUUUUGUGGACGUCGCGGAGAGUGGAGGUGAGGGAGGGAACGAACGAAAGAGAAAGCUCGAAGCGGAUAUACUCAGUAGUGGUUCGUGGGUCUAAAUAUCUAGAUCCGACCCGUCAUAGAUCCGAGGUUUUUUUUCUUUUUCUUUUUUAUUUUUCUUUUUUGACUUAUAUUAUUAUUUUAUUAUAAACAUAAUUUCUCAAUUGUACCAUAAAUACUAAAUAAAUAAAGAAAUAAAAGGAACUGUCCCCAACGUUAAUAAACUGCAUAAUCUAAUCCCCCUUAACAUAGUUACUGUAACAUUAGAAAAAUAAAAAAUAUAUAUUUUUUAUUUUGAGGGUUAUGUGCAAUAUAUAUAUAUAUAUAUAUAUAUAUAUAUAUAUAUAUAUAUAUAUAUAUUGCAAAACUGAAUUUAAAAUUGGAUAAAAUUAAUAACUCUAUAAACUAUUAAUCAUGAAUAGUUAAGAUAAUUAAUAGUGUCAUCGGCUAAAAUGCCAUGUUUCUUGCAGUGAAAUCUAUUAAAUUUAUUGUCAAAUUUGAAAAAUUCAAUCCCCAAUUUGAUUCACACAUAAGCAACUAAAAUAAUUUUGUUUUGAAUAUUUAUUCACAAUGGCCCAUAAUUAAAUAGGUCACUAUAUAUACAUGGAUCGAUCGAUUUUACUUCCCACAACUCUUAUUAAGCACUAGUUUGAUAAUGUAGUCUUUAAAAAUAUCUUUUUUAUACUUCCAAGGACAUAAAAUUUCAAAAUGUUUCCAAUAUUUUAUUUUUUUAUGCUAUAAAAUUAUAGUGUCAACCACUACUAGAGAAACAUGUGCUUGUGUAGCUAAAUAAUGGGAUUAUUUCUUAGUAUUAGUACCAUUAAAAUAAGUAGUUAACUAUAUAUAUUCUUCUAAAAAUUACUGAAGAAGACAUGUAUUUCCAAACUCCACAUAUAGAAAUAUAAAUUUUGUACUAUCGUAAGUUCUUUCACAUUAAGGGGCUGUUUGGUUGCACGCAUUUGCAACUGCAGUGCAGUUGCAAAUACGUGCAACCUCAAUUCCUUUGUUUGGUUUAGUGUAGUUGAGUUCAACUGCUGUAGUUCCAACUACACAAGAAGGUCCAAAUGCUGCAGUUGAAACUACAUCCAAAUUGGUCGUAGUUCCAACUGCAGCAGUUGGUGAGGGAUAGGAUCACCCACAAAUUAACAAUAAUAAAUAAAUAAAUAAAUAGCUAAAUAAAUAAAUAAUAUAUGUAUAUAGGUAAAUAAAAAUACUUGUAAAUAAACUCAUACUAAUAAAAUUUUUUAGACAAUACAAGCUUUGUGCAAAAAAUUAAAUUUUUUAAAUUUAUUUUAUUUAAAAUAUAAAUAUUGUUUUUUUAAAAAAUUUUUAUAGAAUGUGAUCAUGUAUGUUAAUUUAAUAAGUUUUAAUUAAUUAUAAUUAUUAAAUUUGAUAAAAAAAAUGAGAGAAUCGUUUAAAUUUUAAAGUUUGAUUUACAUAUUAAAAUUAAAUAAAUUAAAAAUUUUAAAUGUGUCGAUUAAUAAGUUGAAGAAUAUUAUAUAUAUCUACUUAUUUAUUUAUAAAUAGUAAAUUUAAAUGAUUAAUAAACUUAUACAAUUAUUUUAUGUUUAGUGAAGGUAAUCUCACCACUCUAUCUGAAAAGGUGACAAAAUUCACAAAUACAACUAUCAGCUUCAUAUUACCAAACAGAAGAAAUGUAACUGCAGCAGUUGCAACUGCGUAAAACCAAACAGACUAGGUGUAGUUACAACUGCAGCAUUUGCAACUGAAUGUAUUUCCAACUACACUGUUUCUGCAACUACAUCCAACCAAACAGCCCCUAAAUGCAUGCAUAAUCUAAUACGUGAAAUUAAGAUUCAAAACCACAUUUUAUGAGAAAAUUAAAUCACCUCCCCCAGUUCCAACGAUUUGCCAAUGAUUUUCUUUUGCUUACUAUAUAAGGAGUAAUAACAUAAAAUACUUAUAAUAAUCUUACAUUAAUAAGUAUAGCUUCAGAAUAAGAAGCAUGUCCCAAUUAAAACGAUAGAGAAUCGAAUAGCUAUACUUAUAAUAUUAUUGAAAAUAAGAUUAUAAAGAGAAAUAUUACAAAGAUUACAAGUUACUUCUCUGGUCAGAAACAAACAUAUUAAUUCCUCGUGUCCCAAAAUAACUCAUCACGAAAUUAGAGCGAAAUAACAAAAAUUGCGAUCCGAUUAGUUAAAAAAAUUAUUUAAAGUGAACUUUAUAGAACUUUAAAUCUCGAUUUGCUACAUAGUGCGUCUUUCAUCUGAGCUGAAGCUAGUGUAGAAAAAACAGUGCCCGCCUGAGUAAUGCUGCGGCGGUGCCCUCCAAGAACCGGAGGACGGUGCUGCACUCCAACAAGCGCGCGUCAACCCCGCUGCUCACUAGUGGCUUGAAGAAGAGCCCCAAAGCGGUGGCGAUGACGAACCCCACGGUGAUCGGCGUCGCCAACAAUGGCGGCAGCGGCGCCCACCCCCUCAGGCGCCACCACCUCGACCUCUUCACUGCUCCCUCUGCCACCGUGACCAUCCCAUGCAACACGAAAAACGCCGCGGGCUCCCCCGUGGGGGGCCGCAGCGUGGCGUAGCAGAACAUGGCCUCGUGCAUGACCCCGGAGACAAGGAAUGCGGCGAGCGCAGCAGUGGUGGGGCCGAGGCUGCGGCGUACGGGGUCAUAAACGGCGGGACGGAGCACGGCGGAGACCGUGAGGUUCCACCGCCGGCCCCAGAAGUCGCCGAGGGAGGUGGCCAAGUAGGGUUUAUUGAACUGGGGCUCGAGGUCCACGCGCAAUGCUCUGCCAACUACGACGGCAGAGAAGGCGAAGACGAGAUCGAUAGCUAAGUAGAAAUGGGCGCAGUAGAGUGAGAGGAGGAGGUAGGAGUGCAUUUGGGGCUUGAAGCGGUAGAGGGGGAUGAGGAGGGCGAGGAGGAGGGCUUUAAUGGCGGAGGAGAGAAGGGUGAGGGAAUUGUGGGGUGGUUUAGGGUUACGGUUGCGGAGAUUGAUGGGGAGAGAGGAGAGGAGGAGGAAGGGGAGGAGGGGGAGGGAGGGGUGGAGGGGGCCGACGCCGAAGGAGAGGAGGAGGAGCUUGAAGAGGGAGAGCCAUGAGAGGAAGAAGGCGGAGAUGCCGCGGAGGAGGAUGGAGGAGAAGGAGAAGGGGAGGAGGGGGAGGAGGGAGAUAACAGGGAGGAGCGCCGCGAGACGGGGGAUGCCCGCGGGGAUGCGGGACGCGGCGAAGCGGGCGUAGGACAUUGCCAUGGCCACGGUGACGGAGACCGUCGCGAGGGUCCGGAGCUCCGAGUAGUGAUCCAUGGAGUAGCCGAGAGAGAGAGAGAGAGAGAGAGAGAGAGAGAGAGAGAGAGGUGCAAGUGGCCAUGACCAUGAGAGGAAGAAGGGUUAUGCAUGGUUCACGUGGAAUGUACGUAAAAGUCAUGCAAAGAACGUUGGCAAUGAGAAAGUCAUUUUUGGUCGCAUAACAAUUAACAGAUUAAAAACUUUCACAUUACACAUAAAUAUGACAAAAUUUCAUAUUACUUCUGAUAAAUUUUUUUUGUCAUUUUACAUAUAUAGCAUAAGAUGAUUGAUUUAUAAUUAUAUAUUUUUUGACAUAUUUACUAUUAAUAAGAACUUUUUUUUUUGGCCACAAUGCUUUUGUGAGAAGAGAAAUUUUACCGGAACUGGUUAGAUGAGAUCGACAAAUAUAUAAUCUAUCAAAUUAUGAAUUUAACAAUGUAAAACAAUGGUCCUUAUAAAAGUUUUGUUAUUUAAAUUUUGUAUACUAUAAUGCAACAAAACAAUAGUUGAAAGUUCAGGAAUUAUCCCAAUGUGAGAUCACACAAUUCGCCGUCUAUCACGUGAAUGGAUGAACUAAAUAUUUUACUCCAUGUUCUUUCGAUUUUGUAGUAGAGAAUAAACAUGAUAUAUUUGAAAACAAUAAAAUUCGGAGCGUAAAGCAAUUAAAUAUUUAAAUUAAACAAAUGAUUCAGCACUAGAACAGGAACAAAUUAAAAUAACAAAAACAAACAUUAGGCCAAAAGUUUAAAUCAAAUUUGAUUCCAAUAAAUUAAAAUCACUGGAAUCAAUUUUUUUAAUUUCAAUUAAAACCAAACCCCAGAUUUAUAUUAACUGAGGUAAGGAUCAAUUGACCCAAGGCUUCUUCUUUCUCAACCUUACAAGAAUAAAUAUAUAAAAAUGCAUUCAAACUCUCUCAACAAUAGGCAAAUUCGGAAAUAAGCCCCUAAAGUAUAUCUGUAAAUUUUUUAUUGAGAUCCCUUAAUAUUUCACUUUUAAGAAUUGAAUAAUUAUAGGCAAAUAAAUUAAAAUUUUAAUUACUAAAUUGAUUGAUAAAUCUAGCAAAUAACUUAAUAUUUUAUACUACUUUAUAGCAAAUAAAAUCAAAUAGAAUAACUGCUAAUAGCUAUUAUUAGCUAUAAAACACAACUUAAUUAACUUAAUUUUUUUUUUAAAAAAAUUAUAGAGGUAUCAAUUAAAAAAAAAAGUUGGAGGUGUCUAAUUCAGAAGCACUUUUACCAAAUAAAUAUGAACGAACGAGUAUUACCACAAGCAAUUAAUCAAAGCUCCUCAUUUUUCCGAGGUGGGGCCCCCGGUCAACUCCCGGUUCGGUUAAUUCGGUUAACUUGAACCGGACCGGGUCGAGAGGGAGAGGUCAGAGGAGGCUUCGACCGGUCUCCUCCACGAAGGCGACCAUGGCCAUGCACUCCUCGAGCAUCCUCUCGUCCGUGCCCCCGCGAAACAACGGGGGCACGAAGAGCCACAGCCCCGUCCCCACCACGAACCCCACCGUUACCGGCGCCGCCACCCACCUCGGCGGCGCCGGCGCCGCGCUCCGCCGCCGCGCCCACCACCCCUCCGCCGCGGUGCAGAGGCCGUGGAGCGCGAAGAACGCGGUGACCUCCCCCGUGGGGGGCGCCGCGAGGGUGAUGUAGUAGAACAUGGCCUCGUGCAUGAGCCCGGAGACGAGGAACGCGGCGACGACCCCCGCGGCGCGGCCCAGGCGCGCGCGCACCGGGUGGUACACGGCAGGGCGGAGUGCGGCGGAGACCAUGAGGUUCCAGCGCCGUCCCCAGAAGUCGCCGAGGGAGGUGGCCAAGUAGGGCUUGUUCGCCUGCGGCUCGAGCUCCACGCCGAGCGCCCCGCGCGCGGCCGCGGCGGAGAGGGCGAGGAGGAGCUCCAGGGACACGUAGAUGUGGAAACAGAGGAUGCCCAGAAGAAGGUAGGGGCUCAUUCGGUCUCUGAAGCGGUAGAGGGACGCGAGGAAGGCGUAGAGGAGGAGCUUCGCGGCGACGGAGAGGAGGAAGAGAACGGUGGAGGAGGAGGAUGUGUGUUGUUGUUUUGUGUUGGUAAAGGAACGGAGCUUGACGGGGAGGGAGGAGGUGAGGAGGAAGGGGAGGAGGGGGAGGGAGGGGUGGAGGGGGCCGAGGCCGAAGGAGAGGAGGAGGAGCUUGAAGAGGGAGAGCCAUGCGAGGAGGAACCCGGCGGUGCCGCGGAGGGUGAUGGAGGAGAAGGAGAAGGGGAGGAGGGGGAGGAGGGAGAUGACGGGGAGGAGCGCAGCGAGGCGGAGGGCGCCGGGGGUGACGCGCGACGAAGCAAAGCGCGCGUAGGACAUUGCGAUGGAGACGACGACGGUGACCCUCGCGAGGCUCCACAGCUCCGACGGUAUCGCCAUUGUCGUCACCAUUUUAUUCUUUUUUCUUUUUUAUGAGUUCUUAUUUUUUCUCCUCCAAUACUAUGAAAUAGUUUUCCAGUGCGUUGACUUUUUACGCUAUUGAACCAAGGGGUACAUUGACUUUAGAGAGCUCAACAGAUUUGGAUCUUACAAUUUAUCCUUAAACGAGAGAAAGUAGUUGGGUGGACCUUGUCCACCACGUCAGCAAAGAAUGAAUCCAUAUUCUUACUCGUAAAAAUAAAAAUAAAAAAUGAAACACUAUUUUAAGUCAAAGAGUUCGUAAAAGAAAAUGUUAAUCAGGUAUUUUUGUUUAUAAUAAAAAAAACAUAAUAUUCUUGGAGAGUAUUAAUUUAUAUAAAACAAAUUCGUUAUUUAGAAAACAUUUUUUUUUUUUAUAAUUUAGUGUACAUAGUUUGAUUGGUACCUUUGGUAUUCGAUCACGAGAUCGAAUAUUCAAUCUCUUUUAUGAUUAUUGUAUUAAUGGACUGAGAUGAAUGAGAUGUAUGAUCUUGUUAACAAAUAAAUAAAUAAGUAAAUAGUUAGUAUUUACAAGUUAUUAGGGCAAUGAGUUGACUAAUUAGCACUGUAUUAUACGUAAAACCUUUCUUUAUGUGUACGUGGAUCACAUGGCUUCCUCUACUAGUCUGAAGGUCGACAUAAAAACCCAUUUUAUUUUUAAUUUUAAUCCUCAUCUCUUACCAUUUUUUUACAAAUUUUUAUUAGAUUAUUUGCUCGACCUCACAUUUCUUAUUUGAUAGUUUCAAUUUAACCAUUUAAAUUAUUUUAAAUAACAAUUUUUUAGUUAAUAAAUAUAAUCUACUUAAUUUGUGCUAUAUAUGAUAGGCACUUAUAAAGGUCAUGAAGCCCCCCCNAUGAUUUUUUUUAGUACAAUUAACACAGCCACUGUUAAUUAGUUACAAUAAAAUAUUUAAUUUAAUAAAUAAAAUAGGUAAAAAUAUACAUUGGCCUCGUCAAAGUAUAGGCCAAUUCAAUUAAUAUCUUUGAUUUAAUACUAUUUUAUUUAUUAAAUUAAAUAUUUUAUUGUAACUAAUUAACAGUGGCUGUGUUAAUUGUACUAAAAAAAAUCAUGUUUCAUAAUAAAAAUAAAUAAAUAAAUAAAAAGGUUCUAUAAAAAGAGAGUAAACGCACUCACUUUGUGCCUGAUCAUGUAAUGUCACUCCCAGCUCAGAAUAGCAACAACUCAGCUGGGGAUUAAUUGUUUAUCAUUUGAUAAUUUAAAAAGCUAGAUCAUUUAAAGACUCAAAUAAGUUUUUGUUGGCUUAAAUGGGCUAGCAUCAUGUCCUGUGACGAAAUGUUAUGUUGGGCCGAGUCAUGUUCGAAAUGGUGUGAGAUUGAGUGGGCCAAGUCAUGUUCGAAGUGACGUAAGACUGAUUAGGCCGAGUCACAGUUGAAACCCGUGGGCGCUGUAUUUGUAUGUUUUUAGUGACUUGGUUGCGUAUUUCUAACCGUUCGAGUUUUUGAGAUUAAUGAUUAGCGCCAAUAAUCUGACAAUUUUAAGUAGUGUGCAGCUCUAUAUAUUAAAAACCCAAAAAAUACUAUUAAAACAUAGCUUUAGACAGGCCUAACACAAUUUUUACUACUUAAUAACCAAUUUAGUUCCCACGUAAAGAAUAAUCAACUAAACCAAAAGAUGUAGUCAUUAAAGCCAAAACAACAAUUGUAACUCAAGUUAAUUUGUGGGGAAUUUUGAAUCCACCUUUCAGAUACACAUGUAUAUAUAUAAUUCACUAGCAUAUCUAAAUAUGAGUAUUGCUAGAAUACUAUCGGUAGUAAACGGCUCGAUUUACUAUUGAUUUAUUUUCGAUGAUAGAGCUUUCAAAUUGACGAUCGGUGCUGUUAAGCAUGAUCUAAAGUAUUUAAAUUACCUGAAAAUUAAUUUUUAUAUAUUUUCGAUAUUGUUCUUUUGUUCAUCAAGUGAACAGAAAAAUGAAUGAUUGAAAAUGGAUAUCCUUAAAAAAGUGAUGAUACAAUUUAUGUAUUUAAGAUCUAGAGUCUAGAUCUUAUUUUAAAUAGUUUAGAAAAUUUACUAACAAAAAUUUAGUCGAUUUGGACUUUUCUAUACUGAACGAGCGAACCAUAUCGGCCAUUAAAAUUACUGAUUUUGUGAUCCUUUGAUUGUUCAGUUAGUGAUGUCAAAAAAUUGAUUUCUAGAUAAUUUAGAUAGUCUAGAUCAUAUUAACAGUACUGAUUGUUCAUUUGGAAGCUCUAUCAUAAAAAAUAAGUCGAUAGUAAACCGAAUCGUUUGCUACCAAUAAUAGCUCAGCUCUCAAAAUAUAUACAAAAUGCAACGUAUAUGCAUCAUCUACCACCCACACAAAGGUAUCUUUAUGAGAUAGGGCCUUUCUGAUUGGCAUUCUUGUCGUGCUUUUAUUUUCUUAAGCAUAAAUUCUAUGUGAUUGAUCGAAUGUGUCGGUUGAGUGAAUUCAUGUUUUCGUUAGUUAGCUUGCGAUGUCUCUUAAUGCAAGUACAAUAACAAUAUCUCCUUUUGAGAAGCAAAAAUUUCACCACUCUAUAUAUAUCCAUGCUUUUUCUUGUUAAAUAAACUCCGUAGAGAUAUAGAUUGCGAGCAAACCGCUAACCACCACCACCGUGCACUCGAUCACAUAGAAUUUGUGUUUAAGAAAAUAAAAACAAGGAAAGCUCCAAAAACGAGGCCAAGCUAAACUAGCUAGUUUAGGCACUGUUACGUUCAUCGAUCCAUAGCCCCUUUAAUUAGCUCCUUAUAUAACAAGUUACAUGUAUUAGAUACCAAACCUGCAUAUAUGAAAAACAAAUAAUUAAUUACUAAUUGACACUAUUAUGCAACAAAUAUAUACGAGUCGAACUAGAAUAUUUUUAAAAGAUUCACUCUUGGAUCUAUUGGGCUAUUCCACUUACAAAAAAUGAAAGCACAUGAAUAAUAACAAUUUUAAAUGUACUACAAUACAAUUCUAUACUAUAUAUAUAUAGAACUAGACUGGAAUACUAUCAACAGCACUAAGCUAAUGGUGCUAUUAGAUUUUCGGCCAUUGGAUGAAAAAAUAUACGGUUAGUAAGAACGAUAUGAAUCCCUUAGGACUAAGUGAGUUACUGAUUUAAUAGUAUAAUUUAACGAAUGAAAAUAGUCAAAGGGUUAAAUCUAACAGCAAAAAACUUGAUAGAAUCAAACACUUGGUGCUAUUAUAGUAUUCCAGUCGGACUCUCUCUCUAUAUAUAUAAACCAUCUACUAUUCUAUCAACAAUAAUUAGAAUGGCGCCCUUUGUCCUACGAAAUUAUGUUGAAUGAUCAGAGAUCCAAACUAUGCACUACCUGAAGAAUCAAAUUUAAUUAGUAUGUUUUAUGUUCAAAAUUAAGACUUUAAAAUCGAUGGCAUUUUACUCUGUAAGAAUUUUCAAUUUGUUUGUUUUACAGUGUAAGUAGGACGAUCCAAAUUGAUUGAAUCUAGCAAAAUUAAAAAUCACAUUCGAACAAUCCAUCACGACGUUGAAAUAAAAAAUGCUAGCUAACCUUUAUUUUCGCCUAUUUAUUUGUGAUGGUAUAUUACGUAAUAAUUUUUUAAAAUUAUAAAAUAUAAUUUUGGGACAUUUGAAAUGAAUAAUGUUUCAUCAUUAUUGCUCAUUGGUUUUAACCAUUCGUAAUCGAAAAACGAUUUGAUAGGACGAAAGACGUUGAGAUAAUAUUGCGGUAGUGUACAGUUAAAUAAAUGAUUUACCGUGUUCAUCGUAUGUAGUCAUGCAUCUAAGUGGCUCCGCGGUCGGCGAGGGUGGCGGAGGAUUUGAGAAUCAGCUCCUCCGAGAAGCGGCGGCGGAGUUCGGAUUCUUGUCGCUGGAGCUUGAGGUGGUCGUAGUGCUUCUUGAUGAAGCUCUCCACCCCCACCGCCGCCUCGUCGAAAUUCCUACCAUCCCUCCUCCCUUCCCUACACGUCGCCGACUUCCGCAGCACUGCCGCCCCCGCCUCCACCCCCCUUUCCAGCCGCCGCUCCCACGUCUCGCUCUUCGUCAGCACCGGCCUCCUCGCCUGCUCCACCGCACUCUUCUGCACUAUCGCGCCCCACGUAUCGUCAAAGGACGCGUCAUCGACUGCAUCAUUCUCGGUCUCUGCGUACUCUGCCUGCAGCACCAUAGGGUAAAAUUAGCUAGCAUACUAUCUGCUUCAUUCAUUAAGUAAAUAAACAAGACAACAAAACUAAGACAAAUGCCUCAUCGAAAAAAGGAAAAGUUGAUAUAGUGAUUUUAACAGUUCAGAUUUUUAGAGACAUACGAUUAUUUCAUGAAAUGAACAUAUGUAGGUACGUACCCUUCUUGUCGAUUCUACGUGAUCCUCUUUUCUUGUCGAUUCUACGUGAUCUGAAGAGGAGUAAACUCUCAUCUUGAACUCGAACUCGGGGACGGACGGGACAUCGUGCCAGGCACCGUCGAUGUCGGGAGGAGGGAGCAGUGCUGGCGGUGGUAUCGGCGGCUCGUGGUCGAGACGGUGGUUGCUGGCGGCGGCGGUGGCGCCGGAGAGCCUCCAGACGGCGAAAAUGAUGAGGUUGGCGGCGAGCCAGCGGGCGCGAGGGGACGACCGGAGGACGAAAAGGAGGGAGUAAGAAAGGAGGAGAGCGGCGGCGGAGGAAACCACGAGCAGGCCAGCGAUCUUCGCGGCCCAGAUUGUGGUGCCGAGGCGGCUGCCUGCAGUGUUCUUGGGCCGAGAUAGAGUGCAGAAAGAUGUCAUGGCCUCCAUGCAAGUUAUGUGAGGUGAAAAUGGUCUCAAAUGGUAAUAGUGGGGAGAGAGAGCGAGUAAUACGUGUGUGUAUAUAUAUAUAUAUAUAUAUAUAUAGAGAGAGAGAGAGAGAGAGAGAGAGAGAGAGAGAGAGGGUUGUGGAGUAUAAGGUUGUUCGGUGGAUUUGGAAGGGGAAUUAAUAGGGGAGGAGGGGGUGAGUGAAUUGAAUUUGAUACCGUUGCCGCAUCCGUGGACUCCCCAAACACAUUGGCUUUUUAUAUUUUAAAAAAGAGAUAAUUAUCUAUAUACCCCUAAAAAUUUUAGAAAUAUCUUUUUAUUCCUUUUUUUUUUCUUUUUAAUAUACCCCUCAUAUGUUUUUUCAUUAUUUCAAAAUACCCCUACAGUUAUCAUCCGUUAAGUUAACUUGGAUUAAACAUGAGUUAAAUAUCUAUCACAGUUAAAAAAAAUUAAAAUACUAAUUUUGCUCUUAACUUAAGGACAAAUAAGAAAUGUUGGUAACGGUAAAAGAAUAUAUUUGAAAAGACCAAAAGUCAAAAUACUUUUUAUGUCCCAGACUUAAGAACAAAUGAGAGAAGUCAGUGAUGGUGGAAGGAUAUAUUUGAAAGUCUGAAACUUUUCAGGGUAUAUAAGCAAUUGCCCUUUUAAAAAAUUAAAAUAUUUUUAAUUUUUUUAAUAUUAUAAAAUAAAUGAUAAUAAUUCUAAUUAGGCAUAAAUGACUUGAUAAUUGGUGUCUGAGAUUUCGUAUUCUCAAAUCCGGCUCUUCUUAUAUAGUGAACUUUACUGCUCGUAUAUAUAUGAACAUGAUAGAGAAUUUUUUCUUAAAAAGAAUUAUUUAAGAUUUAUUCUCUUUUUCUAUUAUUUUUUUAAUUUUAUUUGAUCUUUUUGUCGUCAGGUGUUCAAAAAAGCUCUGUCAAUCUUCAUCACGAUCAUACUUAUAGGAGAGAAUUUCGGUCGUAGUUUGGAAUGGUAUUUUCGGUUAAUCCUACAGGAAGAACGGGAAUAUAUCUUAGUAUAGUGCUAUGCACGCUUCCGGAUUGAGUGGGUGUUCACUUCCUUUUCUUCAACAAUUUUAGGAUUUUUCUUCGAGUUGUUUCAUAUUUCUAGCAAAAUAGCUUGCUAUCGUUUUUCGAAAAAAAAGAAAAAUACCCUAGAAUCUUUAACGCCGAUUUUUAUUAUUUUUUUACGCUGUUAGACGAGAAAAAAUAUAAAAUAUUUUAAAUUUUUUAGAUUCUUCGAAACAUGAAAGUGAAUGUGCUCGUACAACUUAAUUUCAAAUUAGUCCUCAUAUAUAGAGAGUUCUGAUACAUUAUUAUUAUUCUUUAUUAAAUUGAAGAUGCCUGUAGAUCAAACACAUAUACAUAUAUGUUUUAUUGUGUGAAAAACAAAACAUUAGUUAUAUAUUGUUCUUCAAGUCAAAUUAAACUAAUAAGCAUCUUCACUAAACCACUAUCCACAUAAAGGAGUGUGUUAACUAACAUGUACAAGAACCAAAAUGAUACAUAUAUAUAGUUUUGUCCCAACUUGAUAGUAAAGCAAUCAAGUGAUGUGUAUCCCAUUAUUGAUGGUCCAUCACAUGAUCCCAACCAUGAUUAAUUUAUUUACAUGAUCACCCCUUGAACAUUAAAUCUAAAUAUUUAGAAGGCCUCUUUCAUACACAAAACUACAAGAAAAAGUACCUCUACAUGAAGAAGAUCAUAUUAAGGAAACAUAUAUAAUAAAAGUAUUAUUAUUUUCUCUAAUUUCUGUCCCCUAGUACAUGCAUGUACCAACCUUUAUUUAUAUACAAUCAUUCCAAAUUGCCCAAACCACAAACUUUGUCCUACUUACUCUAAUAACUUAUCCAAUUUCUUUUCUUUUUUUCUUUUUUUAUCAUCCCUGUUUAAUAUAGUUGGUUGAUAUUUCGAAUGCUGAUCAUCAGAAAUUUAAUCCUUCACUAAUAUAUUUAUUAAUAGAGUGAUCGAGUUUGCAACUUACGCUUACUCUGAAAAGGUAAUUUGGAUGAGGCUUUAGGACUAGUUCAAAAAACAGGGGAAAAGAAAAAGGAGAAAAUUUUCUCCUUGUGAAUUUAAAACAACCGUUGUACUCUAAAAGCUUAAGCUGUUAGAGAACGGUAUUUUAAACAUUUUUAUAUUUAACACUUUCCCUCCUUACAUCUGGGCUCGAGACUUUUUUUGUCGGCCCAUGACGUGAGCUUGAAUUAAAUGGGAGGAAAUUAAUAUGCUAGGAGCCUGGCAUGACUCGAACUCAGAACCUGCUGCUCUGAUAUCAUGUAAAACAACCAUUGUACUCUAAAAGCUUAAGCUGUUAGAGAACGGUGUUUUAAACAUUUUUAUAUUUAACAGUGAACCCUAAAAUCCAAAAAUUUCCUCAUCUCAUUUGGAGCCCAUCUCAUAUUGAAUAUGUAAAGCACUAAAAAGAUUCUCUUCCUCCUCCCACUUUUACCUAUUUUAUAUAGGUAAAAAAUAUAAUGGGACACCCCAACUAUGUAUAUACCAUUUUUUUAAAAAUAGAACUUUCAACUAAUUUAUUUAUUUAUUUUUUAAAAAAAUUGAUUCUAUCCACUUUUCAAAUUUGAGUUGUCAAUUUGCUAAAACUAAUGGCUCAGUUAGCUAUCAUCGGUUAAAGAGUUUAUAACAAUCAAAUUUAAUAGCAUCACAAUUAAAUGUAAUAACACUUUCAAUUUUAUUCAUAUAUAUAUAAAAAGAAGAUAAAAGUCUAAGAAAUAUUAACAUGGAAAGGUUGAGGUACCAGUUUCAGAAGAGCACCAGAUAUGAAAAAUUAGGUAGUUUUCUCCAUGGCUAUCUAAAGCAAAUUCUGAUUUAUAAAAAAAAUUAAAUCAUUUUUUUUAAGAUAUGUUUAAAAAUUAACAUAUAACAGUGCAUCACAGAGGCCUUUUAAUGAGUGUACAGCCACAUAGCAGCAACACUACAUCAUCUUUAUCACAAGUCAAUCAAAACUCUCCUUUCAAAAAAAAAAAAAAAGUAUAACAAAAAUAUAUAUAAUUUUUUAAAUUAUGAUGGGAUAAGUGAACUUUACUCCCCAGACGAACAAUUUAAUUGAUUAAGAACAUAGAUGUGGUGAUAUAACCGUCACAUUUUAGACAUUUUUAUCGCCGGUGCGGCGAGCGGCUGACAAUUUUGGAGGUUGCAAGGAACCACUACAAAUAACAAAAGUUUUUGUAGGGACGAGUCAUCAUUUCUUUUCCAAAAAAAAUAUUAAGAAAAAUACUUUGCGCACUUAAAAAAGUUUAAUAAUAUUUUAUUUACACUAAUCCGGUAGAUUUUUAUCAAUCACACAAUAAUUUUCGUAACUUACACUAACUAAGAAUAUGAAAUUAGGCUUAAAUACUUCUAAUUAGGGGUGGCAUUCCAGCUCGCUGUUCGUGAGCCAGCUCGUGUUCGGCUCGAAAUGAGCUCGAGAUCGGCUCGCUCGUUUAGUAAACGAGUCGAACACGAGCUGAAUUUUUCAGCUCGUUUAAUAAACGAGCUGAACACGAGCUGGGGUCAGUCGCUCGGUGUUCGGCUCGAUAACAGCUCGAAUACAUAUAUUUUAUAUUUAUAUAAUUUAUUUAAUUAUAUUUUUUAUAAUAAAUAAUAAUUAUAUAUAAUAUAUAUUUUUAUUAUUUAAUUUUUAGCAAAAUAAAAAUAUAAAUGCGAGUUUAAUUAUAAAAAAACUCAUUUAUAUGUAAAGUUUCAACUAUUAGAUCAAAGUCUAAUGGAUAAGAUUUUAUAAAUUUAUUUUUAUAUAUAUUUAAUCUAAUCUUUUUUAAUUUAUUGUUCGUUAGCCAGCUCGUGAACCAGCUCGUGUUCGGCUCGUUAAUAAACGAGCGAACACGAGCUGCAUUUUUCGGCUCGAUACUUUAACGAGCCAGCUCGUAUUCGGCUCGUUUAAUAAACGAGCCGAACACGAGCCGACUCCAGCUGCUCGUGGUUCGGCUCGUUUACACCCUACUUCUAAUAACACAAGUCAUUGAUACUAUUAGAUUUUUUGUUCUUAAAUAAAGAAAUAAAGUAAUCCCUUAAGAUUGAGUAGAAUUAGUUAAAUAGUAUAAUUUAAUGGAUGAAAAUGACCAAAGAUAUAAACCUAACAGUAAAAAAAUUUAGGAGGUAUUAAAAGCAUCGUAGAUGGACUGACGAAUGUGCAGCACUUCGUUUGUCACUGAAUUUUAAGAAGUUUUGUUGUGGGUCCCAUGGAAGGUUCCGGAAAAAAUAAAGCUGUGAAAUCGUUUGAUAUGGCCGGUGCCUUUGGAUAGAAGAUUAAUUGGAGGAGGUGGGGAGAUGGGGAGAGUAUGGAGGACAUGGAAAGGUUGCACGCCAAGCACCAUUUUUUUUUGUUUUGUUUUUUUGGUUUUUUUUUGUUUUGGGGCCCCUCCAUUUCUAUCAUGAUGUAUAUGAAUCCUUUGUUGAUCCCCUCUCUUUCUACUAAAGGUCGCAAUAGUGGGACUUACAGUGCUUUUGUAUGUGUUUCUCUCUCAGCUUCUGUCCUCGUGCAGAGCACACUAAUAAAUACAGAAUCGUAUAACCCGAAUAAAAAUUCAUAAUAUAUCAUAUAGAUAUUUCAAGAGAAAUACGUACCAUGGCAUUAUAUGUAUAGAAGUGGCAAAGGACUUGGUGAUUGGUACCCGAGAUCCCAAUUUGCUAAUUUUAUUUCUAAAUAAAAUAAACGAAGCGCGGGUAGCGUGCUACCUCUCUCUCUCUCUCAAAAAAAAAAAAAAAAAAAACGAUUCUGAAUGAGCAUUCAAGCUUGAAUUUACAAGAGUGCGCCGCCGCAUGUAAGCCAAGUUCUUUUAAUAUUCUAGAAUAUACAGAGAGCAGAAUUGUUAAUGUGUUAGCAAAUUCACAUAUUGUUUUGAACUGUAGGAAUAAACCAACAACACUUGCAGCAAGUGUUUUCUUCUGUAGAGCCAAAUCAAAAGAUAAAACAACACAUAAUGCUAUAGGCAUAUACCUAUUAAGAGUAUAGAUCUUUUUGCCAUUUCUGUAUGAAAGGUAGGGCCAUUGUGGUCUAAGCAUAACCAUUAUUAUAUUGUGCAACAAAUAACUCAUCCAAUACUUUGGGUAUUCUCUUUCUACUUUAAUAAAUUAUAACAUACCUUCAUUUUGAUAUUCAAAAGGUUUUCUCUAAUGAAAUGAGAAACAAUGACAUUAUGAGACCAAACAUAAUUUGUUACACAAUAUUCUAAAGAGGUGGUUAGAUUGGUUAUUAGUGCAAGUACCAGCAAAAGAACCAUGGAAUAUAAUUUGAAAGCACAAACUUCUUUAAUGGAACUUGAUAAGAUAGAAUAUCAAUUAGUACAUAGUUUAGCUUCACUAAAGACGACGCUAAUGGACAAAGAGUCAAAGAGAACUGUACUGCUUCAAUGCCUUAAUACUACUUCACCAACAAAGUCCCAACAUCAUGAACUUCUAUGAGUGUCUAAUAUAAUUCAGGUUAUAAUCUGCUUUUCUAGUUGAUCAUUGUCCACAACUUGCAACCCCCAACAUCAUGAGCUUUUAUAGUGCUAAUAUAAUUCAGGUUAUAAUCUGCUUUUUCAGUGGAUCAAUGUCCAGAACUUGCAACUUUCGGAAUUACUUUGGCUUCUUCAACAACACAAAAAAAAAAAGGGUGAUGUUUAGCAAAGCAAAACUUUCUUAUUACGCGACCCUACUCCAUCCUAUACUGAAAUACUGUCUUAUAACCCAACAACACUCCAUUACGGUAGUAAAACUUUAUUAUGACUUUGACCAGUGACUAAAGAAGGAAUAGUUAAUUAUCAACUCUUAUUAAACAACAUUUCUAGCAGUGCCAAAUUGAGAUAAAUAAUGCUGUCAAAAUAUGUAGUUUCAAAAAGAGCAAGUAAAAUUUUCUAAGGUGGGACAUAAGAGUGCUAAUAAUGCCUAUAAAAAUAAAUCACUUGAAUCAAUCUCCACCCCACAACUGCAACCACUAUCAAUGAUAUUUAAAGAGAAUGAUAGAACUUAAAAAAAGCUCAUGUAGCUUAACGCUAUUCAGAUAAUAUCAAAACAAACAAGGAACUACAAGUCGAAUUUUUUUUCGAAGAAUAUUAAACACAAAAGUAGCAUCCAUCCAUUUGGUGAAAAUAGCUAAACAGGUGAGACCUAAGAGGAAGGUAUGCAACUAAUUCAAUAAUUAGUAGCAACUUUAUUGACUAAUGCUCACUCCACACUUAAAAAGAAUAUAAUGGACAUAAUUGGCAUUAGAACAUCUCCAUAAUUGAUGUAGAUCACUAGAUUAGCACACAUGACACUUAAUCUUGGAGGGCCCAGAUAUUGGAAAAAGGUUGUGUUGAUAGAAAACCUAUAAUGCUCUUUCGCCUUUCAAUACUAUAAUAUAUAACAAAAUGUCAGGACCGCGAAAUAUGGGUUCAACAUGAAUGGACAUACAACAAGGAUCAAUUCAAAUGAAAGAGGACUAAUGUACGAACAUUAUUUAGGAGGAAUCCGAAGGUAAACCUUUGCUAUUUAUCAAAGUGAUACUUGAAUUCUACUGAUAUACAUAGAUAUGGAAAGUUACUGAUAUCAGAGGAAUCUCCUGAAACAACAGAAAAUAUGGGGCCUACAAAAAGUUCCUAACUUCUUAUGCAUAAAAUUCUUUAAAUUCACUUACAUUAUAACUUUACUUUUCAAUUUUUUUUUUUAAAAAAAGAAUCAGAUAUAUUAAAUAUUAACAAAUAAAGAAUCAGAUAUAUGAAAUUCACCAAAGUAACUUCUCUAAAAAAAGAAAUAAGUCUGAACACCAAAGAACAGAGAUCAGGGUCUAGUUAUUGGGCAAAUGCACUAUUUUUUAUUUUUUGGAAAAUCUCAAGCAGAAGCAUUGUCAUUUACUAGUAGAUCAUAAAAAAAAAUAUGUUGCAUUAUGAAGAUAUUGACAUGGAAUUCAGAGAUUAAUUCUAAAGGGACCCUGCACUUUCAACUGUAGGAUUUUUUUAUCAAUACUGCUUUGACAGAGUGGAUUCUUCAAAAUUUGAAAGGCAAAAUGUAUGGAGACCACUCACCUCUAGGCCAUUCUGAAAUGGACCCCUUAAGUUUUGACCUUUUUGAUUGACACCCUAACUUCUAUUUUUUUAAAAAAAUUAAUUUUUUACAGUUAAUUAAGAUAAAAUUUUGAUUGAAUUUCAUAGCUUAAUUUGCUAUUAUCAACAGUUAACUAAUCUAAUAUUAUUCACCACAAAGUAGUUUAAACUAUUAAACUUGAUGAAAUUAUCAAUCAAUUUGGUAAAAUUCCCAAUUUAUUUGGCUAAAAAAAUCACUUCUAAAAAAUCAAACGUUUGAGAGGUCCCAAUAAAAAAGGAGAAAAUAUGUAGUUCAGGGGUUUGUUUCAGAAAGGCCUAUCAUUGAGGGGGUCUCCAUACAUUUUUACCAAUUUAAUAUUUUCACCAGUGGAAACCACGUGGGUGGGACCAAAACCCCCAACGGUCACAUACAAAUAUGGCAACGCUCCCCUGAAUUCAAAUCAAAGCAAAUCCGAAAUAAACUCCCCAUUCCUUUUCAAAGAGACCGAAUUUCAUACCUACCAACUGAAGCUCAUAUUUUAGCAAACCCCUCUGCAUCCAUUUCAAUGAUCAAAACACUGAAGAAGCUCAAAAUCUGGUCUAAACUGAAGAGGAGAAAGAAGAAUAGGAAGCCCAACACACUUACCCAACCAGCCGAUCCCUCCUGCCCCCGCUGCAAUUGCCCAGUAUGGCCGUGGCCUGAACCCUCUGCUCCGCCUUUGCCACCGUUUGUGAACCUUGUGAACUCUGCCGAGGCGACCCCAUUCUCGGAGAUUACUCCUCUGUAUGCUUCUUCAUAUCAGCGCUACUUUGUUCCGUCUCCCACGUACGGAAUGCCGAUCCAUCAAGAUGCUGUUCAGAAAGACUUUGAUUCAAGGCUUGGUAAAUGUGUUCGCCGGAUUGCUGCAUUGGUAACCAGUUGUUUCAGUUAUUGUCUUCGUUAGUUCCAUGAAUUCCCUCAAAUUCGGCCUUUUCUCCAUUUGUAUAUUGUUCUAGACUGAAAAAGCACUUUUGCAAAAGCUCCAAUCAGGCCCACACAUGCCAUUAUUUUUAUUUCUUUUUUGAAAAAAAAAGAAUUAGGAGGUUCGUGAUAAGAACUGAAUACUGCGCUUUAAAACAAAAUCGCAGGAUUCAUGAGUCUAGAUGAUUAAUUUUCUCAUUCAACUACUUCUGUAACUUAAAAAUGUUGCGAGCAUGCUGACUAGAAUGUCCUUGAGUAUUUCCUGAUUUCGUAGGAUAUUGAGGUGAUGGAAACCAGGUACUUGUUUAAAGUUGAACUGCGGGGGAUCAUCUUCACGCAUUCUGAGAGACUGUUAUAGUAGUUCAACAACUGCGCCAUCGCAGCUUUUAGAAUUUCCAUUCCACAUGAAAGAUUGCUAAAUGAAGUAAUGACAUCUUUAUGCAUUGCCUCUAGAACGGCUUUCCACCGCAUUGCAAAGUCCUUCACCAAAGGUUCAACAUCAGCAAUUGUUGGACUUCCUGUGAAGGAAGUUGACUCUUCAUCUGGGAACAUGCAUGAAUAUCACUGAGUCGCUGUUUUAAGAAAUAAAGGUUCAUGAUAAAUGGAAAUAGUCUCAGCUUUACCGUCGUAAGCCUUCACAAACUUGAUCAGAUCAGUAAAAUGCUCCGAAAGCAAUUCCUCCUGCAUUAAAUGCAGGAGUAAGAGGAAAAUUCAAACAGUAAAUUUCGGAAAAUUCAAUAUCUGCUCAAACAAAUAACAAGUUGAAGGCAUCAACUACAGGAUGAAGCCAAUCUACAAAUAGCCAAUGAUCACAAAAGAAAGUUCAACAUGAUUAAUUUUUUUUAACAUUUUUUUACCCCCAUUAUAAAUUUCAGAGCAGUUAUGCUAACUAAAAGGGUUUUGUAACAUCUCCCUUUUCAUACUGUACUUCAGGGGUAAUACACACUGCUCCUCACACCUUUUCUUUUUCUUUCUACUAUCUGAAAAAGCUGAAAUUGCAAAAAGUCAGCAACAGCCUCGCUUUAUUAACAUUUAUGAUGUGGAUGAAUCCUCGAUUUUAAACCAUUGACAAAGGGAAUCUCCUUUUCAACAUAAAUAAUCUAUAGAAUUGACUUAGUUAACCAGGUAAUUUAUCAUAGAAGACUUACUAAUGCAUUCAGCAUGUUAGACAAGACAACUCACUUCACCUAAGGCAUCAAAAAAUUAGUGAAAUAAAAAGUUCAUGGCAAAAGUUUAUGCAUUAGCUCGCCUCAGCAGAGAGAUGGAAAUUAUGAUGACAGAUUUGGAAAAAGAUGGUAGUAGCACUUGUUGCUAUCUUCAGAAGUAUCAAUAGUAGCUGUGUAAACCUUUAGGGGAAAUGAGUUGUAUUUAUCAAGCAGAAUGGAAAUUGUAGAAAUUAUUUCCAUUGCUUCUGAUACUGGCCAAUAUAGCUAUCCAUAUAUAGUUGGACAAAGGAGCACAGUAUUGUGGGUUAUUAGGUUUUUACCACAAACAAAGAAAUAUUGCUUUCAAGCUUUUCUUCAAAGAAUGUUGGAAUUUUUCCAAUGUCACCUGCCUCCUGCAAAGAACACACCAUAUUUAGACAGGACGAUUACUUAUUAGGUGUUAGAUAAAACAGCAAAGAGACAAAUGAAAUGUAGCAGAGUUAUGCACUUACCUUCAAGACAGCUAUAAUCAUAUCAUAGUUAUUAAGAAGGAACAAAGCUUGUGAUUUUGGUAUUCUAAAUCGUUCGGCCAGCCUGACAAGUAGGUUAUCAAUUGCCAUAUGCAAUUGCUCCAAGUUCAUAUCAAGCUACAAGGAUCACAUAAGAAAUAUAAAGGUAUAGUCAAUUUGCUACAGCAUACAUAAAGCAAAGUGAAGCUACUCAGAAUUAUCAGUUCGCGGUUUCAGAUAGUUAAGCACUUAGUGAUUCUGUAGUGCCAUAUAAAGUAAAUCUUAAAAGGCAAGUCUUCUUCAAAAUAAUCUCAUAAAAUCACAUGGCUUUUCAUUAACGGUCAACUGACCUGAUUAUUUCCAUAUUCUACAUUGAGCUGAAUAAGGGAGGCUGCAAACUCAGCAUAGCACCGUAUUGCAUAGUGUGGGUGAGUGUCAUCCUCCCAUAAUGUUUUGACAUCACAAUUUUUCAGACAUUGCAGAUGCAUAUCAAUUACUUUCUUGAAACAUGGCCAAAGGAAAAUAUUGACCUGACAAUUAUUAGAAUGUGACAAUUGUUAAUCUUUAAGUACAUGAGAAAGUAAGGUUAAACAAAGAAUAUUGCCAUGAAAACAUACUAAGAUAAGUAAGAGAAAGCAAAUUAACAAGAAACAUAGUUUCUUCAAAUCUUCUAGUCAAAUGACUUCGGACGAGAGAUGGAAAAAUGAAGAUGUUUUGGAUGGACCAUUUGGUAACUAAAAACUGAAUUACCCUAGUGCUUUUGAAAUGAGAUCCCAAAUCCAUUUGUACUUGCCUUUCGUCCAACCCAUGGGGCUGCGAAGAAGCACUCACAUCACAAUAUCACAUGGAAUGCAACACAAAGUAGUCAUGAUGACACAAGGCCUUUCCUGUAAUGAUGUGCAUUAAGCUGCUAGGAUGGAUCUUGGACAGAAGAUGACUAGCAUGAGAUAUGUGGAUAGAUCUAAUGUUUUCUCCUGAGGAUCCCUCUCUUUUAUUAUGCUUUGGAUUGCUCUCUAUCGGUUCUGGGUCUGCUUAAGAAUAGGAACAGUAGCCUCAUCAAAUCCCCUGAUGGAUCCGAGUCCAGAAAAGAGCCAAAGUUUACAAAAUUUAGAAAUGGCAAUGUUAAAUCCUUUGUAACUGAUGGCUGAUUGCUAGAUAUUCUGUACUUUCUGUUUUCAGUAUUCUGACAUAGGCAACCUAUUAAUUCAACAAAUUGAUUGAUAAAUAGUAAAGAGUCGAUGGAUUUGUACAAAUGUGUACAAAUGCAAUCCGAGUGGAGUAACCUUUCAGCCUGCGGAGCCAUUAAUCAAAACUAACCAGAUGCCGAAGCAGCCCUAAGCCCUAUCUAAAUGGAUUGUACUUGAAGCAAGCUAGAAUGAAUGAUCAUGGAUAAAUUGAACUGCCAAAGAUUUGCUUUGUACUUUUACAAUUCUCGAGAGUCUUGCAGUUUUCAUUGCAAUCAAUUUGACUUCCAAACAAACACAAGACUCACUUAGCACACUUUGUUAUCAAAUUUGACAGCAUAUUAAACAUAUAUGUGCUGCUAACUUUGGUGCCGUUCUAAUUUCAACCAAACAAUUCAGUUUGGACAUAAUUCUGAACCUGGAAGGGCUAUAUUCUGAACCUACAACAACAUAAUAUCUGAUGAAGAGCAAUUGAUGCAAGACGCAAAUCAAAUUUUCUUUUUGUACACCAACAAUUCCUUGCAAACCAUGACUUCCAGCAAAUUGCAAUCUAAGAAAAACACAUUACUUAGCUCAGUCAUGCCAAGUCCGUGGUAGAAGGUGGCAAGUAGGUUAUCGUAGUGAAAUUUUCUGUAAAUAUAAAAGAGUGUCGUUGCAUUUAAUUUUGCUUUUAACUCAAUCCCGGGAGCAUUUCAUAAAAAAACUUUCUUAUGAUUCAAGAUAAGAUUGAUGUCCAAUAUGAGUCAAAUUCAGGUAAUAUUUAGUGGUGUUUUCGACAGUGAACAUUAAUUGCAUUUCCAGUAUUGUUGAUCCUAACCUUAUCAAAGUACGAAUCCAGACAAGGAAUCCGCCUCCUGGACAUAAUUACCUGAAACAGAGAGAAUUAUAAUAUGCACACACAUCAUAAGAUAGAAUUUCCGUUACUAUGAAAGACAGCUAUUUAAUAAAGCUACAAGAUCUACUAAACUGGCCUCAUUAACCAACCACCAGUCGUAGGGCUGUUCUAAAACACAUGUAUAUUUCUAGCUCUCUUUGUAAAACUCUGUUCUAUAAUAGCAUUCCUCCACCGUAAGAAGUUAUAAAGAUCAAUAUAUCAUAAAGAUGUAGGAAACAUGUAAAUCAUGAAGAUCACAUGCAAAAGAGAACAUUCAUCUGAAACUGGAUGAACUCAAAAAGAAAAGAACAGAUUUUCUGAAGUAAAUACCAUCAUGAUUUACGAGUAAUAGUUAGAUUCAAAUGAAAUAGUUGACAAAAAGAAUUAGAAUCAAGAUUUCUUGAUAUCCAUGUACAUAUGAGGUAAUCUCAUAAGAUCUCAACAGCAAUACAAACAAAUAUUAAGCAGCAAUUGUCUACAUUCAAGAUAUAUAAAACUGAUAUGUUCUCUUGAAAUUUCAUGUAACUGAUAGCAAUCAUGGUUCAUUAGCAAUAUAAUGAUUAAAAUCCUAUGCACCUCAUUUUUAGGCAUGAACAUGUACAUAUGAGGUAAUCUCAUAAGAUCUCAACAGCAAUACAAACAAAUAUUAAGCAGCAAUUGUCUACAUUCAAGAUAUAUAAAACUGAUACGUUCUCUUGAAAUUUCAUGUAACUGAUAGCAAUCAUGGUUCAUUAGCAAAAUAAUGAUUAAAAUCCUAUGCGCCUCAUUUUUAGGCAUGAACAUGUAACCAGAAUUUUUUCUGAUUGUUGCAGAACUUUGAAUUCAUGAGUGCAACAUAGAUACAGAUCAAACUCCAAAUUUUAGAAAAAUAGAUGUGUGCAGAAACACAAAAUCAUAUAGAAUAAUGAAAAUAGAAUAGAAUUGCAAAGAACAAAAAAAAGAAAUGAAACGACAAUGAAAACUAAACAUAGAAAAUUUAUUGAGAAAAAAAAGGCUUGUCAGCUUUUUUACCUUUGAUUUUUACGCAAGGAUUAAAGUGCCCAUCAACACAGGCUAUAUCCACCAUGUCGUAUCGUGCCAACAAGAUAUUGACACGAUACAGCCCUCGUGCCGAUGGCACAACUCAAAACCCUUUAUUCUUGAAAUUUGUAAGUAAUUUUCUCAAUAAAAUUCAAAAGAUUUGAUAAAAAUACAUAAUAAAUAAUUGGCAUAUUUUGUUGCUAAAGAAAAUAAAUAUUUCAUGCCAUUACGUGUCGGCACACAUAUAUUGUUUGUGACGGGCGCGCAUCGGCAUGGCCCAGUAUGCACCAUGCCGUACUGUGCCGGUAAGUUUCCGGCACGACCCCACCCCACGGCACUUAAAUUCUUGUUUUUACAUAUUAGGGCAAAAAAGCAAGAAAUAAACCCAAUAUGACUUUGCUAAAAUCAGCACCAACAAUACCUGGUGCUUCCGUGUUAUGCAGAUCAUAAGCAUUAAGCAUAUCGCAUCAUAACAAUUUGGAAGUACUAGUUUCAAAUGUUCAUCAAUAACUGUGAAAGCUCCUGAAAGAAACAGCAGACAUAGGUAAAUAUUGUUUUAUUCUUAAUAUAUGAAUUAGAGUAGACGCUUUCCUUCAUUAUGAAAAUCAUAUACAUUAGAUUAAAUUGUUUCCUGGAAUAUGAACCAUCCUGUCUUUUCACGUGCAUCUACAAGUUACCUGCAAAGAUUUCAUACAAUAGUGAUGCUUCUCCAAAAAAGGCCUCAAGAAAAAGGUACCUGAAGAGCAAACAAAUGCAGAGCAAACAAAAGCAUUAUGCAGCAAAACAUCAGUGAGUGGUCUUGUUAUUAGAAAGCAUAUAAAGUUUUAGUUCAAAAAAAAAUAAAUACUCUGAACAGGAUGUAUCUAUCAAAAGCUUGUGUAAGCUCCUAAAGAGAGCUUCGUAUGGAUAUCUUAAAGCAUUGGCUUCUGAUAUAUGUGGAACCAAAGCCGGUUGAUCAACUUCCUGAGAAAAUUAAAAUGGAAUCAUAAUCUUUAAGAGAAAAUUAGUAAGCUGCUCCGAAUUAUAAAUGGCUCAGAAUCAAAUCCAAUUAAAAAAAAAAAUCUGUUGUUCACAUUUCUAAUAAGCACAGUCAUGGGAAUUUUAUCUAAAUAGAUACAAUCAUCCUCUAGUAAGGCAAAGCAGGCUAGCAUCUACUCUUUGUGUUCUAUUUCAAUUGUGUUCCAAAUUGCAAGCAUUUUGGCCUACAGUUUAUUGUGAAUGAGGAAAUCAGAGAAGUGAGAUUUCUUAUUUCGAAGCCAGCAGCCACUAGAGACAAUCCUGAAAUGAUCUAGAGAAAUGAGAAAGUUAGAACCUUAGAGCAAUUUUCCAUUUGGUGACUCUUUCUGCAUUGGAGGUGGAACCAUCAAUUUGCAAGCCCAAGAUAUUUUGACACAGCACACAGCAAUGACACUAAAUUAAAUUGCUACAUGUUCCCUUUGAAACAAUGGCCUCCACAUAGUUAAUUUCAUAUCUCUUUUUUUUUUUCUGGAGGACGUUGUCUCAAUGAUUUAAAAUAACAAUGUAACUCGUGCAGCCUAUGAGUUAAAGCUCCAAAAACUCACGAAAAGUCAAUGAUAUGAAACACAAUGGCAACAACCAGUAAUGCUGUCCACUCAAUUUCUAGAUAUAGAUAGAUUGUUAGGUAAGUCUUCAGUAAGAAUAUUCAACAAUUCAUUCAAAUGCAAAAUAAUGGUAUUUAAGAAGCGUAAUGUUUUAUAGCAGGGAAUGAAAGGCAAGAACAAUGGCUGCUUAUCCAAAUUCAAACUUUUAGUGGAGACCACCCAAGAAAUAUUUCAGAAAAGAAAAAGUGACUCAAAACAGGGAUUGAAAUCAAGUUAAUAGAGGUUUGGAAAUUAAAAUUAGAUGGCCUAGUAGAAGGACAUCAAAUUAAUAAUGAACAUUUCUGAAAUCUUGACUUUUUGAAAGUGGUGAAUCAUGACUGUUUUAUUCUAUAGAGGAGAAAUGAGAAUACUAGUAACCAAAAAGUACUCAUUAACAGCCUAGCCAAGAGAAGUGUAUGGAACAACUCAACCAAAUGGUAAUAGUUAUAUACCUUCAAAAUGUUUAUCCUCUCCCCUAAAGCAAAGAUUGAAGAACGUUUUUGGGAAUGUUCCUGCACUCUCAAAAGAACACCCAAGCUUUUAGAGUCACUUCCAAAUAAAUCAUUUGGUGUUGCCAUAUUCAUCUGCAGUCUCUCAAGUGCUUCUAUGUAGACAAAGAAAUGCACACUCAACACCUAGAAAGUUGGAGAAAAUUACAUCUGAAUUACGAAACAAUAAGAUUAAAAUAACAAGAUUCCUCAGUCCAAAUUAUAUAAAGAAUGCUGGUAACUUUAAACUUUCACAGUACGAACAUUAUUUUCUUGAACUUAGUAUUUAAGUUCCCAAAUACAGGUGCAUACAUGUAUGCUGCAAAUUCUCAUGCCCAUGCAUGAGUAUGACUGCAUGGUCAAUUUGUGUUCAUAUAUAUAUAUAUAUAUAUAUAUAUAUAUAUAUAUAUAGAGAGAGAGAGAGAGAGAGAGAGAGAGAGAGAGAGAUGAAGAGGCGGAGGGAGAGACAUAAGAACUAUUAUGGUUUUAGAAGAACAAAAGACUUUGUCUUCCACUUCAUUUUUUAUGAUCGGGCUUCCACCUAUGUCAAACAUGAUCUAGAAUAUUUCAAGCAUCUAGGAUACAACUUCGCGGCUCCUAAAAAUUUUAUUCCAGUGCAUCAAUACAAAACAAUCUUGCAAAUCCAUCCGCCUUAAAGAAAAAUAGAAUGUAAUUCUUCAAUUUAAGAUCAAGAAUAUAGAUAUCGAUCAAGAUAACACUAAGCUUUUGCAAAAAAAGAUCAACUAAUGUGAAUUCUUCUACAUCGUUAAAUAAUAAGCACUUCAUAUCCAGUACUAAAACUGAAAAUUGAAACAUAAUUAUCACCACCAAACAAGCAUCAAAAGAAGAAUAUAGACUUCAUUUAGAAUAGAAACACAAAAACUGUGAAAGCAUGCUAGUUAGAGGCUUAUUAUGCCAAUGGCACAUAGAUGGUGUAUGUUUGCACAGCAUUGCAUGACAUAGCAUGGCACUGUACGGUGCCAAACUGGGCUUGUCGCAUCCCCUGUACCAGCACUUAAAUUCUUGGUUAUGACUACUAGUGGCAACAUAUGCAAGCUACUAUAUAAUUUGACUUCUCUCCAAUGAAUUGGUUUUGACCUAUAGUCAAACCAAAAUAAACUCAACCGCAGGUUACAACAGAUGCAACCUACAAAGAGCUUAUUUCAACUUGAACAUGAUCACCAUUAUGUUAUCUUCUCUUCUUUAAAAUCCCUUGGCAUUUCUAUUUAAUUGUCUAAAGAGAGUACAAGGCAUAUUGAAGUACUUGUAGGAAAUCCGUAUUCUACAUUGAGCACAGACUAAAUUAGGUGGUAUGCAUAUAGACAAUAGAGAAUGAAGAAGUUGCAUAUUUGAACAUUUACCUUGUUCAUCGUAUCAAUAUAUGCUGCUAGAAUAUCUGGAUAUUUCUCUUUGCCAUGUUCUUUGAGAAAAAGAAUGAGAUACCUACAAAUAAAUACACACAAGUAGAAAAGUACAAUAUUGGAAAAAUAUUAUCAUAAGAAUUAAUUUUCAAGGAAAACAGGUUGCUUAGCAAUGUUAUCAAAAUAUCAAAAGAUUCAUGUAAAAUGAGAAUCAAAUGAAAAGUAAUUUUAUCGAAAGGAAAUUAAACAAAGUAUCAAACCAUACAUGGUGUCUUCUUCUAUCAAUUAAUGUAAUAAAUCAUCUUAACAGUGAUAUCAUCCCAUAGAUGACAGCCCACUCAUGUUACCCAGAAAGCUAGAGAUACCAAUGGCACUCUCUCUAAUAAUAGCAGCACAGACACUAUCAUUCCCAUAGAAUCCUAAAGGCAGCAGCCUACUUGUGUUUCCAGAAACUUUACCACAAUUGGGUCAGAAAUGAUCUAAAAUAUUAAUUUAUUUAUUAAAUUUUCUGGUAUUGUUUCAUUUUCAUUGUUAGUUUGUCCACCAUUGGCUUUAUUCUUUCUAUACAAAAUUUCAGUUUGAUAUAUCAAUUCCAACAAAUUUCUUAUUGGUCUAUAUAAUCACUUAUGCAUAUUACGGUCACUGUAAGAAGAAUAACUCACCUAUAUUUCAGAAGGGAGUUUUGUUGCAACAUUUGAAUAUUUGUUUUUGGCUUUCUCAAGGAAUAGAUCUUCUCAAUGAUGAAAUCAAAUACCUAAAAAAAGAAAAAAGAAUAAACUAAUGCAAAUAUAUAUUUUUAGUUUUGCUUACACAUGCGCACGCAUGCACACACCCCUAACAUUCCUAAUAAGAUGAUCUCAUGUAUUUACAGUAUAUGCAUGGAGGUGUAGGCUGUUAUUUGUGAACAAGUAAUUUUGUUAAAAAGUAUUUUGCAAAAACCUUUGCUACUGCCGUUUGUCGAAGUCUGUCCAUCUCUUGCUGAACAUCCUGAAAAACUUCUGAUGCAUUUAACAUAUAAUCAAUUCCAACAAAUUUCAGCUUUUUGCUUAAGACCUCCAGGUGUCUCAGAUAUUCCUCAUUCACCUGUAAAAGACAAGUGAAUUGAUAACUUAACCAAACAUGUCACUCUACAUGCACAAAUGCUUAGAUCUGUGUGCAGGUAUGGAUAUGUCGUUUGAAACAUUUUGGCAGACAUGUUAUAACCCCCAUUUUGGCAGAGAUGCUAACCCAUAGUACCAAUGCUAAGGUACCUACAUCUAGAUAAUAAUAGUCCAGACAUCCUACAAGGUGCACCAGUAGAAGCACAAUGCUCUAUUGAGAUAUGCCAUGGUGCACAACUGCAGACCUCAGACAGCAUCAUCAUAAAUUGGCUCUAAAGGUGGUUGUAAUGGGUAUGAUUCAUACUGAUGGGCAGUGCAAGAUUCGCCAUUGCUUAGUGACACAUACAUGCAUGGUUUUAUUUAUUCCCCAGCUACCCAUACUGAUUGGUUAUCGGCACAGUCGGCAGAUGUUGUACAGAGCAUCUUUAAUGAGUCAGCAGGCCUAAGGAACUGGUACACAAAAUGGUAAGCACAUGCCCACUAGCACAACAUUCCUCGCAUUUAUGCAUAUGUGUGCAAAACUUACUGAAUUUUGGUAGUGUUAGUUUGACAUCCAACGACUUUUAAUUGUUGCUUGCACAGGCAAGAACAAAUUCGACCCUAGCCUUGCCAGGCUAUGAGAAGAAGGCAGGAUAAUGUCCUUGAAAUAUCAAUCCUGGCCUAUUGAGAAAUGGAUGCCAACAGCUCAACCUACAAACAUUGCUGCUGAGCACAAAUGCAGGAAAGAAGUUUUUGCUUGAUUCUGACAAUUAACAGAUCUUCUUCAUUAUACAAAUCAAUCAACUGAAAAAAGUCCUACGUAUUAGUCCCUAUAUCCCAUAUAAAAUGAGGAGUGAUAGCCAGUUUUGGUAAAAUUUAUGCUUCAUAACCUCAUAUGCAUUAUCUGACUAAAACAAUCUUGUUAUUGUUUUGUCAAUUAUUAAUAUAUGCUUGCGCACUUUCAUAUUGGAAGAAAAUUGUCCGACGAUUAAACUUUUUCUGUAGCACAUCUGUCUGGAAAUGUCUAUUAAAAAAGAUAAACCCCACCUUGAGACAUCUGUCUGGGACUAAGUUAAUGAAAAAAAAAAAGAAGAAAAAAAGAAAAAGAGAAGGAAAGUAAUAAUGUCCAAGAAUGGGCUCAAUAUGCUUCAAGUUCUCAUAUCGAAUAACAGAUAAGGACUAAGGUUACCUCUCCAUCAAUAAUAGCUGUCACCAGACUGGGGGGAGCUAUAAUUUCUUCGAUGAAUUUUGCCAAUUUCAAUUCCACCAGCUGUGAAAGAACAUUCCUGUGAGCAUAUUAACAUGCAAGAGAGAGGAAAAACGCAGCAUAAAUAAUUUGGCGGUUGGUACUCGAGGUCCCAAGUUCGAAUCCUAGUUGAUUCACAUUUCCAGCUAAGUUUAUUUCUAAAUGAAAUAAGCGAAGCGGGAAGCGGGUAGCAUGCUACCUAUCUCUCAAAAAAAAAAAAAAAAAAAUUGUACACCUCAAUAUGCGGAUCAUAAAUAAAUGCCCACUCACUGGCAAAUGUUUGAACUACGCAGUCCUUCUGUAUGAAUUUUUUCAUAAAAUGUAUCCAAACAACUUCAACUAUACACCAUUUGAAAUGGCACUCUCAACUUUAUUUACUUAUUUAUUUUUGUUGGCACCCCCUUAACUCGAAUAAAGUAAGGAUUUUAUCAAAUUCACCAAUAAUUCCAUCAAAUUUAAUUGUUUUGAUCAUCACUUUCAAGUAAAUGAAACUGGAACAAUUAAUGUCUAAUAGAGCCUUUAAAUUUAACAGUAUUUUCAACUUAACUAACAUGAUCAAAUAAAAUAAUUAGAAGUUAAGGAGGGUGUCAAACGAAAAAGUGAAGUUGAGGGGCCUAUUUCGAAAUGCCAUGUAUUUGAGGCAGUCUCCAUACAUUUUCACCAAAUUGUUUUCCACUUUAGUUUGAAUUAUUUCAACAAAUCUACUAAAGUAAAUAAUGACAUGUCCCAAAUUCACGCCAAAAUAUUAGUGUUUUUAAAUGAGAUGUAUUCAUUAAAUAACUUAACGGAUAUUUGGCUAACAAGUUAAAGGAACACCUCCUGUGUUCAUUGGCAGCUUGUCUAGAAUCGAGUCAAACAGAAACAGGACAAGUUAUCGCACUAAUGGCACACUGCUAGCAACAACACACCUAAGUCUGCUACACUUGUAUGUUUCAAGAAAUCAUUAUUUUUGUAGUAAUCUUAUAGAUAUUCAUUUAGGAUUUUCAGGUUCUGUUUCAAGAGAUGAUAUCCUGAAUGUUUCUCAUAUUCAUGUCAACUUGCACAAUUACAAAUCUACAUAUAAAAUAGGAUUUCCCUACCUUACGGUUCUUUAGCUUCAUACCCAUCUCCAUAGAUUUCUCCUGAAGACUCUUUAUUUCUGCACUAAUGGAACCAAUCUCCACCUGUCAUAAGAUUAGUUUAUUAGUUAGUAGAAGAUACCUGCUCUGCAUGACAUUGAAUUUCAUUUAUUAAUUCCAUUCAAUAUUAAAGAAACUUUCCAAAUAUCAGAAAAAGGGUUAGAAAGCAAACACCUGGAACCCACCCAGAAGAGAACCUAUUUGUGACAAAAUUAUUUCACAAUCAUGAAACUGACCAUGCAGUAGGACCAAGUUAUCACUCUCUUCAAUAUAGGUCUGCACAUGGGUGAAAGGAAAGUAUUAUACACUAGGAGUGCACAUAACUUUUAUAAAGCCUAAUUAUGAUGAGAGACAACAAAAUUAAUACAAAUAUGGCAUAGAAGUUAUCCUGCAAAUCUAAGAGAAAUUUUGCAAUAUAUUAAAAAUCAUAGAAAGACAAGUAGAAGCAGCAUAGAAGGGGGAGUAAAAGAUUAUGCCAUGAAGCACAUCGAAUUUCCAACAAUUGUUGUGUGAUUAGCACAAUGCUUUUGUUUUGAAGCCUAAUUAUGAUGAGAGACAACAAAAUUUAAUACAAAUAUGGCAUAGAAGUUAUUCUGCAAAUCUACGAGAAAUUUUGCAAUAUAUUAAAAAUCAUAGAAAGACAAGUAGAAGCAGCAUAGAAGGGGGAGUAAAAGAUUAUGCCAUGAAGCACGUUGAAUUUCCAACAAUUGUUGUGUGAUUAGCACAAUGCUUUUGUUUUGAUAUCUGCUUUAAGUUUCUUAUUCUUUAGUUCAUUUACAUGCAUUCUCCUUGAAAGUUACUAAUAUAUGUCAAAUAUAAAGACAAAGAAAUGCCAUUACUUCAAGGUAUCCCUGUUCAUCUCUGCGUAAGUUGCUCUCAACUCCCCUUGUAUACUCCUGCAAGUUUGUACCAUUGGCAAAUAUAUUUGCUGGUACCUUCAAAACAAGCAACAAAUUUCUUAGUACAAAUUUACAUGGUAGUGGUUGUCUAAGGCUCUAAGCAGAAAUGAAAAGUCAUGCUUCUACCAUGCACUAUACAUAUUGUCCAUUUGGGAUUGAUUCCACUCACUAAAUCAGUGUAGGAGUGUUUAUUUUGAAAAUCCUAUUGUUAAAUACAAUUUAAAUUAUCUUGACAUUUGUUAAUCUAACAUCACAGUCUACAGGAAAGGAAAUAAGGGAAAUCAUCAUCAUUUUGAAGAUCCCAUUGUUAAAUAUGAUCUAGAUUAUCAUUUUUUCUAUUAGUCUAACAUCAGAGUCCCUUGAAAAGGACACAACAGCAACAGUAACAACAAGUAUAUGACUGCUCAGUUGUUGAGGAGUUUAAUUAACUAAAAAAUGUGUGAAAAUGACAUCAUGUUAGUCUCAGUCCAAACUGUACCAUAUUGUAAUAGCUCAAGACCUCAGGUACAUUAAGAACAGAUAUUCAUACAAUGCCAUCAAAUUAUCAGCGUCAUCCAAGCCUUUUCCCUCUGCGGUGGGGUUGCCUAGAGAAAAGCUCUUAGGUAAGAAAGUUACAAACUAUUGGCAAAUUUACACUCUGACAACCAGACACCAAUCUUCUAAAAUUGGCAUAUCUUUAUAAAUCCAUACGCAUGAGACAGUAGGAGGCACUUUACUCACAUCAUCAUUACUGCAUCCUUUAAGUUCUUCAUGUAGCCCAUCCAAUGGUACAUCAUCACUGCUGGAGAAAAGUUGAAAAUUUCAGAUAUAUAAAAAACAUUAGCAAUAACUGUACACCCUCCAAGACAUAAAAAAAAGUUAAUCAUAUGAAGCAAAAUUAUAUUUUCUUAAAAAAUGGUAAUACACUUCAUUAUUAAACUUUUUAUAUCCCCGAAAUAUUUAAUCUCCCUUUACUUUCAAAGUAAAUAGAUCCAGAUCCUCCAAUACAGUUGGAUAUGCCAAUUACAAGUUAUAAUGAUAUCUCAAAAGCUUGGAAAUGUAUUCAUAGCUAAAGCUCAUUAUAAAUGAACAUAGACAAAUUAAAUGCACAAGCUACAGAAUAUAAAAGUUCAAUUUGGAAAAGUCAUAAACAAACCCAUGUUAAACAAACAAAAAAAAAAGUGCUCUUAAGCUUUUGUUUCCUCAAAUAAUAUGUAAAAAAGUCUAUUAUUUUGGCAUUACUAAAGCCAAACCUUUCCACUUUCAUAUUCUUUCUGAUGUCAAAUGCAAUCUUAGUUACACACAGUGCCAUUUUUGACUGCCUUAAAUUACCAAUAAGGAAAAUUAGAGCAAGAUCUGAAUUCCAGAGAGAAAAGAUGUCAGACCUACUAGAAUCCUCAUCUAAGGAAAAAUAAUCAGUAAAUAAUUGUUGGUCAGAUCCCUGCUUAAAAUCCUGCAUCUCACUGUUAUAGUCACCCUGAAUCCAUGCCUACAUAAAAUUCAGACAGAGAUAAAGAAAUAGUGCAAGUAAUUGGAACUAGAAUUUUAGCUCUAACAAUAUAAUUAUGAUCAGAAACAGUGAGAUUGCUAACAUAUUAACUACUCAAAAAGAAGUGGCAUAGAUUGUCAUUGUUAAAAACUCUUAUUAUGUUUUUCUUGUGUUAAUGUACAAUUCUUCACCUGUUCUCUUUGUUUGUUGCUUUUUCAGCUCCUGGCUUCUUUGACAGAGAAUAGGAAAUGAAGUUCAAGAGAGCAGGCAGAGCAUUCUGAGCUAUCGAUCAUAAAGGGUUUAAUGCAUCAGAUAUACCCAGAAGCACUCCUCUCUUUUCUCCUUAUAUCUCCCUUUCUCAUACAAAUAAAGUCUUUUUAACCCCUAAUGCCGCUACAGCAUUUAGAAAUAGGCACUAGAGUUUUCAUUGCUAACUACUUUUGCAAAGAGAAAUAUAAUUAUAACAAGAAUGACCAGAUACUUCGGGAGGGAAACAAAAUCAUCAAGAAAUUGUAUAGACAACUUUCUGAAAGGUUUUUAACACCCUGUACAAAUACAGCAUUUACAAAUAGGCAGUAGAGGCACUCCCUAUCAUGGUUAACUACUUUUGCAGUAAGAAGUAUAAUUAGAACCAGAUAAGUCAGACACUUCAUGAGGAGGGUUCUUACCAUUCUUGAUCAUCCUACUUUUCUUAUUUACCAAGGCCACAUGUAAAUUUACCUUCUGACAGAUCCAUAUCAUACUGAAAAAGAAAAAGGAAUCAUUAAUAUCAUCAUAUAAACCUACUUUUGCAUACGAAUAAGCACGAUUAGACGAAGGAUGGAUAAGGUGGUCGAGGAAAGAAACAGAGCCAUCAAGAAACUGUAGAGGGAAAAGGGAGAAAGGAGGAGAAUGCUUACCGUUAUUGAUCAUCUUACACGUCUUAUUCAAACUAUAAAUAUCAAAAAUCCUAGUUUUCUUGUUGAUCAAGGUGACACCAACAUUUAACAUUCGAAGAGACCUAAUUUCACAUCAAGCAAGGAAAGUAAAAUAUUAAUAUCAUAUAAACCCACUUUCGCAAAAGAAUAAGCAAUACUAGAUCAAGGAUGGAGGAUUCUUACCGUUCUUGAUCAUCUUACACGUCUUUUUCAAACUAGGAAUCAGCAAAAAUCCUAGUUUUCUCGUUGAUCAAGGUGACGCCAACAUUUAACAUUCAAUGAGACCUAAUAUCACAUCAAGCAAGGAAAGUAAAAUAUUAAUAUCAUAUAAACCCACUUUCGCAAAAGAAUAAGCAAUACUAGAUCAAGGAUGGAGGAUUCUUACUGUUCUUGAUCAUCUUACACGUCUUUUUCAAACUAGGAAUCAGCAAAAAUCCUAGUUUUCUUGUUGAUCGAGGUGACGCCAACAUUUAACAUUCAAUGAGACCUCAUAUCACAUUGAACAAGAAAAGGACGAGAUUAGUCUCAUAUAAACCUACUUUCGAAGAACGAAGAAGCACGAUUCGGUCAAAGGUGAAUCGAAUAGCUGAGCAGGAAAUUGCAGAGGGAAACGGAAGAGAGGGGAGAGGAAUCGUACCAUUAGGGAUUAGAGCGAGCUAGGGUUUGGAGAUUGGAAUGGCGCCUCUAGUGGCGAAAUCGCGGAUCUAUGCGAAGAAGAGAGAGAGAGAGAGAGAGAGAGAGAGAGCCGAUCCUUUCACUCUGCUCCGUUCGACGAGAAAUUUGCGGGACACGGGAUGCUUCGAUGCGUAUUUAUUGGGCAAGAAUCGGACCGUUGGAUUGUGAACGUUUCGAAAAGCUGCGGUGACGUUACCGCCAUGGAGACGGGUUUAAUUGGAUCAGCACUUUAAAUGAAGAAAAAAAAAAUAAUUGUUUACAAAUUACAAUAUGAAAAUUUUUAAAACCUUUAUUUAGCUCCAAACAACUAAUAGUCCAUUUGCUUGCGAUGAAUGCGCAGUUAAAAUCACAAUUCCUAUAAAGUUGCUAAUACAUAUGUUUGUUACGUCACUAGAUACGCCACUAGAUUUACUAAAUUUGUCGAAUUCGUACUCACAAACAUAUAGACUUUUUUUUUUGAGAGAUAGGUAGCACGCUACUCUCUUCGUUUAUUUCAUUAGAAAUAAACUUAGCUGAAAAUGUGAAUCAAUUAUGAUUCAAAUUUGAGACAUCGGAUAUCAACUACCAAGCCCUUUCUUUUGCUUUAGGGACAAUUGCUCUAGAGAUGGUCGGUCACAAACAUAUAGACUUUAGUUCUUCAUCGUAGUUGAGUGGGGCACAGAGUCAAUCAAUUAGGAUUCAAAUUUGAGACCUCGGAUAUCAACUACCAAGCCCUUUCUUUUGCUUUAGGGACAAUUGCUCUCGAGAUGGUCGGUCACAAACAUAUAGACUUUAGUUCUUCAUUGUAGUUGAGUGGGGCACAGAGUCAAUCAAUUAGGAUUCAAAUUUGAGACAUCGGAUAUCAACUACCAAGCCCUUUCUUUUGCAUUAGGAACAAUUGCUCUAGAAAUGGUCGGUCACAAACAUAUAGACUUUAGUUCUUCAUUGUAGUUGAGU